AUGACAAUCUUGAGCUGGAACUGCCGAGGCCUCGGGCAACCUCGGACAGUUCAAGAACUCGUGUGCCUCGUUCACACGUAUAAGCCCAAGCUCGUCUUCCUCACUGAAACUCGGCAAAAUAAUAAGUAUGUCUCGAACCUAAAGUGGAGGCUUGGCCUUCGCCAUUGUAUCAUGCAACCCGGCACCGGAAAAGGUGCUGGCAUUGCCCUAUUCUAUGAUGAUAGUGUGGAAUGGAGGGGGACAUUUGUAUAUGGUGAACCAAAAGCUCAUGAACGACAUCUCAUGUGGACUUUACUAAGAAGAAUCAAGGAUACAAAUAACCUUCCU
Molecule: ribosomal RNA, 327 nt
Filed under: Triticum aestivum (bread wheat)
Lineage: Eukaryota; Viridiplantae; Streptophyta; Magnoliopsida; Poales; Poaceae
Description: partial small subunit ribosomal RNA
Source: RNAcentral